UCAAAUGAUAAAAAAAAUAACCGUGUUAAAAUAUAUUAUAUUUUCUUAAAUAGUACACAUUUUUACGAUACAUUUAUAAUGACAAAAAACCAACUAGUUCAUAUGACGACAACGAUAAUUAUUGUAUGAUGGUAGUUGUCUGAAGUCAUAAAAAGCUUAUCGGUAUGCUUAUUCAUCAGAGCGGUUCGAUUCCUGAAACUAUCUCUAGUCUGAUUAAGUGUGGUAACAGUUUUAAGAUGAGUCAAAGAUUCUGGUUGAACAGUUCUCCAUCGACACCAACUGGAAGAAAUAAUUGUUUUAUCAUUUGUCUAAAUAGAUUAGCUAGAAUGUGACCAGAGGAAGAUUAAAUGGACAUAUCAUAUAUUUCUCCAUGGACACUGUAAUCCAUAGACGGAUUUUUGACACUAUAUUUGAAUAUUUGUUGUUGAAGUUAAUUGGAUUUUGUGCAAAACCCCUGGAAGAAUAUUCUGUAUCAGACUAACAUUAUAAAAACCACCCAGUAUUUCUGUUUACCUGCUGUUAGACAUCGUAGUAUCAUCUCCAAUCUCUUUAUAUUUUGUUUAAUUUUAUUUAAAAAAGUCUCAUUAUAAUUUAUUAUUAAUCAACUGUAAUUCAGUUGUUUACUUAUUGAAUAACUUAUUAUCCUGUCUUCAACGUCCAUAUAAACUGUACUGUAUUUAUGACCACUACACUGAUAUCUCAUUUGGCUAAAUAUUUUUAAUUUUCAACUACAUUAAAACAAAAUUAAGAUUGUUUAAAUUUUUUUUUUUUUGAAUACUUGUAUUAUUGUUUGAAUAUUUUUACACUUUAAGUGUCAAUACAAGUAUCUUUAGUUUAACGAUACUAACAGUAUAUUAUUAUUACAAUUUUGACAAACAUAAUUAUUA
Molecule: long non-coding RNA, 887 nt
Organism: Adelges cooleyi (spruce gall adelgid)
Lineage: Eukaryota; Metazoa; Arthropoda; Insecta; Hemiptera; Adelgidae
Exons: 4
Source: RefSeq, a predicted model, not a curated record